GUCUACAGCCAUGCUACCACGAACAAGCCAGAUCCCAUCUGAUCUCGGAAGCUAAGCAAGGUCAGGCCUGGUUAGUACUUGGAUGGGAGACCACCUAGGAAAACCAGGUGCUGCAGGCG
RNAcentral lists this ribosomal RNA (119 nucleotides) under Pteropus alecto (black flying fox). Lineage: Eukaryota; Metazoa; Chordata; Mammalia; Chiroptera; Pteropodidae. The record is from RNAcentral.